CAGCGCCACGGGAAUACGGAGGGUGCAAGCGUUAAUCGGAAUUACUGGGCGUAAAGCGCACGCAGGCGGUCUGACAAGUCAGAUGUGAAAUCCCCGGGCUUAACCUGGGAACUGCAUUUGAAACUGUCAGGCUGGAGUCUUGUAGAGGGGGGUGGAAUUCCAGGUGUAGCGGUGAAAUGCGUAGAGAUCUGGAGGAAUACCGGUGGCGAAGGCGGCCCCCUGGACAAAGACUGACGCUCAGGUGCGAAAGCGUGGGGAGCAAACAGGAUUAGAUACCCGCGUAGUCCCUGUCUCUUAUACC
RNAcentral lists this ribosomal RNA (301 nucleotides) under uncultured bacterium. RNAcentral describes it as "partial 16S ribosomal RNA". It matches the Rfam family "Bacterial small subunit ribosomal RNA", at positions 509 to 808 of the family's 1533-position model. The record is from RNAcentral.